Molecule: long non-coding RNA, 1113 nt
Filed under: Equus caballus (horse)
Lineage: Eukaryota; Metazoa; Chordata; Mammalia; Perissodactyla; Equidae
Description: lncRNA (ENSECAG00000045558.1)
Source: RNAcentral
CAGCAAGAAGGCAGCCUUCUGAAAACCAGGAAGUGAGCUGUCACCAGACACCGAAUCCACUGGCACCUUGAUCCUGGACUUCCCAGACCCCUCAAAUGUGAGGAAGUAACCAUCUGUUUAAGUUGCACGCAGUAUGGUCACAGCACUUUUAGAAAAGCGUUCGUUCCAGCCUGCUUUUGUUCGUUUGCUUGUUGAGUUUCACUCGCACUAGGAGGAAGGACUCAUGAGACAGGGACGCCCCUCUCUCUUGCUCUCUUCAAGUCCCACUGCCAAGCAGAAGCCCGGCACACAGUGGGCAGCACAGGGAAGUGCUGUUUUACUGCAGCUGUGCCCAUUUUGGUGAGCAAAAGAGCCUGAGGACUUUUUUCAGUUUUCCAGUCACCAUGGAGGACAUUUAGUAACUGAGGACAGUAGUGAAUAUUUCUAACGUAGAUUAGGCAAUUGUGGGGGACUGGCAUUGGCCACCCCAAGAUAUGUCCCUUUGGCAUGAGGAUUAUUUGGGGCUGGCUAUUUUUAAUAAACUGGGAUGGGAAGGAGGCUCUGAGGAGUGGAACUUGCUUGCCCUUUUGUUAAGAGACAUUUACAUUUGUAAGGGAAAUCUCCAUCUGUAAAGGUGUCUCCCUCUCUGUACCAGGAAGAAAGGGUGGGGAUGACCUUAUCUCUAGAAACUCUUAAUCAACGCCAAAGGCAAGGACUUAAAUCUGCGUUUGUUUACUGUGCUUGUGUGGUAAUCUCCCAUGAUCGACACCCCUCCACCCCCAACAUCCUCCUUUGUCUUUAGCUGGAUAUGAUAUUUAAGGUGGGGGCUUCAGCCAUUUUGGCGAGUUGCUCAGCUUGCCUGAGCCUCUCCCAUGUAUACGUGUUAUAAAGCUUUGUUUGAUUUUCUCCUGCUAGUCUGUCUCAUGUGAAUCUAAUUUGUUCUCCGGCCAGAAGAACCCAGAGAAGGUAGAGGAAAUGUCUUCCUCCCCUACACAAUCAACCUAUUGAUUUGAGAAGUUGAGGUUAUCUUGAACUGGUUCUCUAUUGCAGAACAGGCGCAGCCUGGAUAGAAAAGAGAACCUGUGCAAAGGCUGGUCAUAGGUUCCACUUGUCAACGGAUGGUGGUGGUGGACA